This 427-nucleotide small RNA is filed under the name Pan troglodytes (chimpanzee). RNAcentral describes it as "processed transcript". Lineage: Eukaryota; Metazoa; Chordata; Mammalia; Primates; Hominidae. The record is from RNAcentral.
AGAAGUCUCGUGAUUGCUCUGGGAGCUUUGCUUAGACACUUGAAACUACAGAAGAAAGAAGGAUCUAGCGAAAUAUGGCUACAGAGAGCCCUGCUACGCGUCGGGUCCAGGUGGCAGAACAUCCCAGUAGAGACGGGGUUUCACCGUGUUAGCCAGAUGGUCUCGAUCUCUUGACCUCGUGAUCCGCCCACGUCAGCCUCCAAAUGUGCUGGGAUUACAGGUGUGAUGUACUAGCAUUCUUUAUUAAAAAUUUACCUUUGUGGGCUGGGUGCAGAGGCUCAUGCCUGUAAUCCCAGCACUUUGGGAGGCCGAGUGGGGGAGAUCACGUGGUCAGGAGUUCCAGACCAGCCUGGCCAAUAUGGUGAAACCCCAUCUCUACUAAAAAUACAAAAAUUAUCCAGGCGUGGUGGCAUGCACCUGUAGUCGC